Molecule: non-coding RNA, 58 nt
Organism: Salmo salar (Atlantic salmon)
Lineage: Eukaryota; Metazoa; Chordata; Actinopteri; Salmoniformes; Salmonidae
Source: Rfam
UAGCUCAGUUGGUAGAGUAUGGCGCUUGCAACGCCAGGGUUGUGGGUUCGAUUCCCAC